CCUGACUGACCGAUAGUGAACCAGUACCGUGAGGGAAAGGCGAAAAGAACCCCGGCGAGGGGAGUGAAACAGAACCUGAAACCGUGUACGUACAAGCAGUGGGAGCCCCACCACUAAGCCAGUGGUGAACUCCACAUACGCAUCCUUUGCGGAAGAUGCGGUUAACGGAGCGAAAGCGACGUUCAACCUCAGAAGAAGCAGAGGGGGCUUAGUGGUGGGGUGACUGCGUACCUUUUGUAUAAUGGGUCAGCGACUUAUAUUCUGUAGCAAGGUUAACCGCAUAGGGGAGCCGAAGGGAAACCGAGUCUUAAUUGGGCGUUAAGUUGCAGGGUAUAGACCCGAAACCCGGUGAUCUAGCCAUGGGCAGGUUGAAGGUUGGGUAACACUAACUGGAGGACCGAACCGACUAAUGUUGAAAAAUUAGCGGAUGACCUGUGGCUGGGGGUGAAAGGCCAAUCAAACCGGGAGAUAGCUGGUUCUCCCCGAAAGCU
Molecule: ribosomal RNA, 491 nt
Filed under: Salmonella enterica subsp. diarizonae
Lineage: Bacteria; Pseudomonadati; Pseudomonadota; Gammaproteobacteria; Enterobacterales; Enterobacteriaceae
Description: partial 23S ribosomal RNA
Rfam family: Bacterial large subunit ribosomal RNA
Source: RNAcentral